Malurus melanocephalus (red-backed fairy wren) is the source of this 1497-nucleotide long non-coding RNA. RefSeq lists it as uncharacterized. Lineage: Eukaryota; Metazoa; Chordata; Aves; Passeriformes; Maluridae. The transcript is spliced from 3 exons. The record is from RefSeq and is a predicted model, not a curated record.
GAGAGCAGUUCAGGCAUUUCAAAAUACAGCAACCUACAAAUGCUAGCACUGCAGAUAGAAAGCACACCAGUCAGGACUUGACCAGCUCUCAAACACGGACUUCACUGUGUGGUGCACAGUACGAAGACACAACAAAGGAUGUUUUAGUGGUCAGUGAGUACAUCCUGAAAAGAAUCUCAGAGAUCCUGUAAGUCUGCAGGCAUUGUUGUCUUUCUGUGAGUGAGGAGGCUGAAGAUGGGCCACUGCUCUGUCUCUCAAGAAGUGAUGCCAUUACAGRGCUGUUCCCUUCCAGGAAUUAGUGGGAGAAGAUUGGAUGAAGAUUGGAUGAAUCUUCCUUUGGAAGAUUGCUGUCUGCAGGGCAUCAGAUAGAGAAAAGGAGAGCUGAAAGUGUGAGAGAAUGACUGGACAGUAUCAGUGGUCUUAGGAGAGCUGAGCAAAAUUUCAGGUGGGUUUUCCUUAAUGAAAAUAACACACUGCCACUUCAGUUUCUUUCCUGAGGUCUCYGUGCUAGUCCUACCCCUUCAGCUGCAGAAUUUGUGUCUAGGCAUUUAUCCAUGAGAGUUGAAGCAGCACAAGGAGGAGCAGGGGAAUGGGAACCCAGCUACUGACAACCUGUUGAAGAGGGAACUGAGGGCUUGAUAGGAAAAUUUNAAAAAAAAAAAAAAAAAAAAAAAAAAAAAAAAAAAAAAAAAAAAGGAAGAAGUAAAUUUAAAUUUUCUAAGUAACUGAUUUCCUGAAAGGUCUUCAGGUCAAUCAAUCUUUUGCUAUUUUGUUUUAUUCUAUUAUCCAUUUAUUUCUGAGUCCUUCCUUCUCUCCCUUCCCAACUUAAUAGAUUUAUCCAUUCUGCAAUUGUAGGGAUGAGUUCUUCCCAUGUGCUCAGGUCUCUGCUUCCACUGCUAUGUUUUUUGUUGGCAUGGAGGACUAUCAAAUAAACGUUACUUGGCAUCUGGGUGUUCAUGGUGCAGUGACAUCUUCCCAAUCAGCUUUGUGGAAAAUAUUUUCUCCUUCGACAUCAAUUGUUCAGUAAGGCACACCAAGCUUCUUGUGCACACUAAGUUUCUUGUCACUGUGAGAUAACCAGAUAGCGUGAGGGACUCCACAUUCCCAGAAACACUUGUUGCAACUGACAGCAAUUCAGAGCUUCUGAACCUAAUACCCCAAAAUGGUAUAGUCAAAUAAAUUAAUUCCUUGACCACUGUGUACAUAAAGAUUAAUCCAGACAGCAAAGAGAUGCCUAUUUCUGGAAGUUUUAAUGGGCUGCCAGGCUGGUAACUUACCUCAACAGCAAUUUCAAGAAUAUGGUCUAUUUCUGAGAUGUAAGGCCAGCCAUGUGUGAUGUGAGGUUACCACAGAGGUCUAACUAAAACAUCUUCAGUAUAUGGGGAGCGACACUGAACAAAGGGGUAAUGUGUAUAUACUGCCAAAAUGAAAGUGAAAACUUUUUUUCAUAGCAAGUGUUCCUUCCUGGCUUUUUAAUGAAGUAAUUCAGUAUCAGUA